AGUGAGACCACCUCCAAGGAUAUGGUGGACAUCUUCAACACCCACUAAUCUCCUGAGGUCAUCUUGAGUGACCGAGGUCAGGUGAGACUGAACAUGGACAAGGAGCAGGAGAAACAGAAGGAGUGCUACCGGAGCAGAGUCAAGAAGGGGACCAAGUGCUGCGCCAUCCGGGCAAAUUACUUGGUUUGGAAGAAGGACGAAAGGAAGGCAGAGACCUUGUUAACCUCACUGCUCCUAGCUGUGGUCACGAUCUGUUAAAGGUUACCUAGGAAGCCAACUAUCUUCUGCAGUUGGACGGUCUACCACUGGAAGCAUUGACGCCCUACACUUCAGUUAAGCCCAAUUUACAAAGACCAUCGACUGUCCGAGCCCCCCAGGAGGUAUCCCAUCUACCAGAACCAGUGAGUUCAGAUCAGUCUGAUUCUCUGUGCUCUGAGUCGGAGGGGGACUAGCUUGA
Molecule: long non-coding RNA, 457 nt
Organism: Oncorhynchus masou masou (cherry salmon)
Lineage: Eukaryota; Metazoa; Chordata; Actinopteri; Salmoniformes; Salmonidae
Exons: 4
Source: RefSeq, a predicted model, not a curated record